GUGCUGCUGCGCCAGUGCCCGAGUAAAUGCUUCCCCAGCGCUGCUCUAUGUCGGACAAGUAUAUUUGUUGACAAAGAUUUGUGUGAAUACAGAGGUGUGUGUUUUUGUGGCUUUUGUGUCGUAUGCAGUGGCAUCUCGGCCGCCCUACAUUGCAGCGACCUGCAUAGAGUUUUUCAUCACGCUUGGUUUUUUUCUGCUCUACCUUCUGAAACUCAACAAAGUGUUCACUUUCUUCUUCUGGCCUCUUAUUGAUGUGUUCAACUCACUCUUUGCAGCUGCAUUCAUGUUUAUUCUUAGCAUGGUUGCAGUUUCAACAUUCACAGUGAAGGGCACUUUGAGCGGAGGGAUCGUGGGCUUUGUGGCUGCAGCCUUGUGGUCAUUGGAUGGCUAUAUUCUUUUAAAAAAAAUCACAUUCAACAAGCCAAGAACCACCACAAGAGCCCAAACAGGGGAAGAGUAAUGCCUCAUAACUGUGUUGACUCAUUUAGUGAGUGAGUGGGCCAUUUUUACAGCCAAAAUGAGAGUGUCAAGUAUAUUAUACUGUUGUAUGAUGUAUACUUUUGUUCAUAAAUAAUGUGCAAAAGAAUUAGAAUCACUGAAAAGACUGAAACCUACACACAAAUCUGCAAAAUAAAGGGUUUCAAACAG
Molecule: long non-coding RNA, 648 nt
Filed under: Danio rerio (zebrafish)
Lineage: Eukaryota; Metazoa; Chordata; Actinopteri; Cypriniformes; Danionidae
Description: si:ch211-189a15.3 (ENSDARG00000102431.2)
Source: RNAcentral